RNAcentral lists this transfer RNA (70 nucleotides) under Camponotus floridanus (Florida carpenter ant). It matches the Rfam family "tRNA". From Rfam's summary of the family: Transfer RNA (tRNA) molecules are approximately 80 nucleotides in length. The record is from Rfam by way of RNAcentral. Lineage: Eukaryota; Metazoa; Arthropoda; Insecta; Hymenoptera; Formicidae.
GAUCUGAUAGCUCAGUCGAGAACAGUUGCUCGGAAAGCGAAAGACUCGGGUUCGAUUCCCGAUCCAACCA